RNAcentral lists this ribosomal RNA (383 nucleotides) under marine Metazoa environmental sample. RNAcentral describes it as "SSU rRNA". It matches the Rfam family "Eukaryotic small subunit ribosomal RNA", at positions 587 to 972 of the family's 1831-position model. Lineage: Eukaryota; Metazoa. The record is from RNAcentral.
AGCUCCAAUAGCGUAUAUUAAAGUUGUUGCAGUUAAAAAGCUCGUAGUUGGAUCUCGGGUACUAGCAUGUGGUACGCAUAACUGCUGUUACUACAUGUCUGGUCCUAAUCAAUCGGUUGGCCGUUGAUGUCCUUCAUUGGGUGUUUUCGGUAGCCGGUACGUUUACUUUGAGAAAAUUAGAGUGCUUAAAGCAGGCUAUAGGCCUGAAUAAUGUUGCAUGGAAUAAUAGAAUAGGACCUCGGUUCUAUGUUGUGGGUUUUGUAGAGAAUGGAGGUAAUGAUUAAUAGGGACAGACGGGGCAUUCGUAUUGCGGUGUUAGAGGUGAAAUUCUUGGAUCGCCGCAAGACGAACAACUGCGAAAGCAUUUGCCAAGAAUGUUUUCA